Molecule: small nuclear RNA, 20 nt
Filed under: Arabidopsis thaliana (thale cress)
Lineage: Eukaryota; Viridiplantae; Streptophyta; Magnoliopsida; Brassicales; Brassicaceae
Description: snRNA_15907
Source: RNAcentral
UCAGGAUUAGGUGUAUGUAU